This 475-nucleotide ribosomal RNA is filed under the name uncultured bacterium. RNAcentral's name for it is "bacterial SSU rRNA". It matches the Rfam family "Bacterial small subunit ribosomal RNA", at positions 328 to 793 of the family's 1533-position model. The record is from RNAcentral.
CUCUGUGACUCCUACGGGGAGGCAGCAGUGGGGAAUAUUGCACAAUGGGGGAAACCCUGAUGCAGCCAUGCCGCGUGUGUGAAGAAGGCCUUCGGGUUGUAAAGCACUUUCAGUAGGGAGGAAGGUAGUGUAGUUAACACCUGCAUUAUUUGACGUUACCUACAGAAGAAGCACCGGCUAACUCCGUGCCAGCAGCCGCGGUAAUACGGAGGGGUGCGAGCGUUAAUCGGAAUUACUGGGCGUAAAGCGCAUGCAGGCGGCCUGUUAAGUCAGAUGUGAAAGCCCGGGGCUUAACCUCGGAAUUGCAUUUGAAACUGGCAGGCUAGAGUCUUGUAGAGGGGGGUAGGAAUUUCAGGUGUAGCGGUGAAAUGCGUAGAGAUCUGAAGGAAUACCAGUGGCGAAGGCGGCCCCCUGGACAAAGACUGACGCUCAGAUGCGAAAGCGUGGGGAGCAAACAGGAUUAGAUACCCUGUAG